Molecule: ribosomal RNA, 253 nt
Filed under: uncultured bacterium
Lineage: Bacteria
Description: partial 16S ribosomal RNA
Rfam family: Bacterial small subunit ribosomal RNA
Source: RNAcentral
UACGUAGGGUCCGAGCGUUGUCCGGAAUCAUUGGGCGUAAAGAGCGUGUAGGCGGCCUUUUAAGUCCUGCGUGAAAUCCUGCGGCUCAACCGCAGACGGUCGUGGGAAACUGGAAGGCUAGAGUGCGGAAGAGGAGAGUGGGAUUCCCGGUGUAGCGGUGAAAUGCGCAGAUAUCGGGAAGAACACCCGUGGCGAAGGCGGCUCUCUGGAACGCAACUGACGCUGAGACGCGAAAGCGUGGGAAGCAAACAGG